This 491-nucleotide ribosomal RNA is filed under the name uncultured bacterium. RNAcentral's name for it is "bacterial SSU rRNA". It matches the Rfam family "Bacterial small subunit ribosomal RNA", at positions 21 to 507 of the family's 1533-position model. The record is from RNAcentral.
GGCUCAGAUUGAACGCUGGCGGCAGGCCUAACACAUGCAAGUCGAGCGGAUGAAGAGAGCUUGCUCUCUGAUUCAGCGGCGGACGGGUGAGUAAUGCCUAGGAAUCUGCCUGGUAGUGGGGGACAACGUCUCGAAAGGGACGCUAAUACCGCAUACGUCCUACGGGAGAAAGCAGGGGACCCUCGGGCCUUGCGCUAUCAGAUGAGCCUAGGUCGGAUUAGCUAGUUGGUGAGGUAAUGGCUCACCAAGGCGACGAUCCGUAACUGGUCUGAGAGGAUGAUCAGUCACACUGGAACUGAGACACGGUCCAGACUCCUACGGGAGGCAGCAGUGGGGAAUAUUGGACAAUGGGCGAAAGCCUGAUCCAGCCAUGCCGCGUGUGUGAAGAAGGUCUUCGGAUUGUAAAGCACUUUAAGUUGGGAGGAAGGGUUGUAGAUUAAUACUCCGCAAUUUUGACGUUACCGACAGAAUAAGCACCGGCUAACUCUGUG